RNAcentral lists this long non-coding RNA (552 nucleotides) under Zostera marina. RNAcentral's name for it is "long non-coding RNA (ZMAR_LNC002495)". Lineage: Eukaryota; Viridiplantae; Streptophyta; Magnoliopsida; Alismatales; Zosteraceae. The record is from RNAcentral.
CUGGAAUCUUGCAGGAGUAUCCAAAACAUCAAUUUACUAUAGACAUCUAUCUCUCUUUAGGAGUUGUAAAAGUAUUGAAAUAUUCAAAUGUUAAAAUUUAGGGCUAUUUUAACAUACAAUGAAAAGGUGUGUAUUCUUUAUUCACACAGUGCUAUAAUAAAUAAAAUACAAGGGCUUCUGCUUCUCUUAUUCUUCAUUUCAGGUGGUAGAGUAUUUCAGGCAACUAAGCAAGCCCCAACAGCUUCUUUAUACUUUUCUGCAAAUGUCAUGUAAGUGAAAUGUAUUUCAGGGCUAUUUUAACACACAAUGAAAAGUUGUGUAUUCUUUAUUCAUACAGUGCUAUAAUAAAUAAAAUACAAGGGCUUCUGCUUCUCUUAUUCUUCAUUUCAGGUGGUAGAGUAUUCCAGGCAACUAAGCAAGCCCCAACAGCUUCUUUAUACUUUUCUGCAAAUGUCAUGAAAGUGAAAUGUUAAAGGGAGAGCACACAUAUUACAAUAUUAAUUUCAAAAUCUUUCUUCUUACCUCAAAGCUCAAUGGAGACGUCGUUGGAGC